GGAGCUGUGGCCGAGUGGUCGAAGGCACGCCCCUGCUAAGGGCGCAGACGGGAAACCGUCUCGAGGGUUCGAAUCCCUUCGGCUCCGCCA
This 90-nucleotide transfer RNA is filed under the name Albidovulum sp. RNAcentral describes it as "tRNA-Ser". It matches the Rfam family "tRNA". Rfam says of the family: Transfer RNA (tRNA) molecules are approximately 80 nucleotides in length. Their secondary structure includes four short double-helical elements and three loops (D, anti-codon, and T loops). Lineage: Bacteria; Pseudomonadati; Pseudomonadota; Alphaproteobacteria; Rhodobacterales; Paracoccaceae. The record is from RNAcentral. RNAcentral also lists the same sequence under 1 other name.